UAGGGAAUCUUCGGCAAUGGGGGGCAACCCUGACCGAGCAACGCCGCGUGAGUGAAGAAGGUUUUCGGAUCGUAAAGCUCUGUUGUAAGAGAAGAACGUGUGUGAGAGUGGAAAGUUCACACAGUGACGGUAACUUACCAGAAAGGGACGGCUAACUACGUGCCAGCAGCCGCGGUAAUACGUAGGUCCCGAGCGUUGUCCGGAUUUAUUGGGCGUAAAGCGAGCGCAGGCGGUUUAAUAAGUCUGAAGUUAAAGGCAGUGGCUUAACCAUUGUUCGCUUUGGAAACUGUUAAACUUGAGUGCAGAAGGGGAGAGUGGAAUUCCAUGUGUAGCGGUGAAAUGCAUAGAUAUGACGCAGAACCCCGAUUGCGAAGGCAGCUUUCCAGCACGCGACUGACGCUGAGGCACGAAAGCGUGGGGAGCGAACAGGAUUAGAUACCCUGGUAGU
RNAcentral lists this ribosomal RNA (448 nucleotides) under uncultured Streptococcus sp. RNAcentral's name for it is "bacterial SSU rRNA". It matches the Rfam family "Bacterial small subunit ribosomal RNA", at positions 355 to 794 of the family's 1533-position model. Lineage: Bacteria; Bacillati; Bacillota; Bacilli; Lactobacillales; Streptococcaceae. The record is from RNAcentral.